Molecule: ribosomal RNA, 251 nt
Filed under: uncultured bacterium
Lineage: Bacteria
Description: partial 16S ribosomal RNA
Rfam family: Bacterial small subunit ribosomal RNA
Source: RNAcentral
UACAGAGGCCUCGAGCGUUAGGCGGAAUCACUGGGCUUAAAGCGUGUGUAGGCGGAUUGUUAAGUACCUUGUGAAAUCCCACGGCUUAACCGUGGAACUGCUUGGUAUACUGGCGGUCUUGAGCCAGCUAGGGGCUACCGGAACAAAUGGUGGAGCGGUGAAAUGCGUAGAUAUCAUUUGGAACGCCAAUGGUGAAAACAGGUAGCUGGGGCUGUGCUGACGCUGAGACACGAAGCCAGGGAGCAAACGGG